UCUGACACUUGAGCAACUGGUACAAGAGC
This 29-nucleotide non-coding RNA is filed under the name Mus musculus (house mouse). Lineage: Eukaryota; Metazoa; Chordata; Mammalia; Rodentia; Muridae. The record is from RNAcentral.